RNAcentral lists this ribosomal RNA (407 nucleotides) under uncultured bacterium. RNAcentral describes it as "partial 16S ribosomal RNA". It matches the Rfam family "Bacterial small subunit ribosomal RNA", at positions 30 to 526 of the family's 1533-position model. The record is from RNAcentral.
AUUGAACGCUGGCGGCAGGCCUAACACAUGCAAGUCGAGCGGAGCGGCGGACGGGUGAGUAAUGCCUAGGAAUCUGCCUGGUAGUGGGGGAUAACGUCCGGAAACGGGCGCUAAUACCGCAUACUAUCAGAUGAGCCUAGGUCGGAUUAGCUAGUUGGUGGGGUAAAGGCAGACCAAGGCGACGAUACGGAACUGGUCUGAGAGGAUGAUCAGUCACACUGGAACUGAGACACGGUCCAGAUUCCUACGUGAGGCAGCAGUGGGGAAUAUUGUGCCAGGGGCGAAAGCCUGAUCCAGCCAUGCCGCGGGUGUGAAGAAGGUCUUCGGAUUGUAAAGCACUUUAAGUUGGGAGGCGUUACCCACAGAAUAAGCACCGGCUAACUUCGUGCCAGCCGCCGCGGUAAUAC